This 464-nucleotide ribosomal RNA is filed under the name uncultured Geobacteraceae bacterium. RNAcentral's name for it is "partial 16S ribosomal RNA". It matches the Rfam family "Bacterial small subunit ribosomal RNA", at positions 338 to 794 of the family's 1533-position model. Lineage: Bacteria; Pseudomonadati; Thermodesulfobacteriota; Desulfuromonadia; Geobacterales; Geobacteraceae. The record is from RNAcentral.
CCUACGGGAGGCAGCAGUGGGGAAUUUUGCGCAAUGGGGGCAACCCUGACGCAGCAACGCCGCGUGAGUGAUGAAGGCCUUCGGGUCGUAAAGCUCUGUCAGAGGGGAAGAAAUGCAGGUGGUGAACAACCAUUCUGUUUGACGGUACCCUCAAAGGAAGCACCGGCUAACUCCGUGCCAGCAGCCGCGGUAAUACGGAGGGUGCGAGCGUUGUUCGGAAUUAUUGGGCGUAAAGCGCGUGUAGGCGGUUUGUUAAGUCGGAGGUGAAAGCCCCGGGCCCAACCGGGGAAGUGCAUUGGAUACUGGCAGACUUGAGUACGGGAGAGGAGAGGGAAAUUCCAGGUGUAGGAGUGAAAUCCGUAGAUAUUGGGAGGACCACCGGUGGCGAAGGCGGCUCUCUGGACCGAUACUGACGCUGAGACGCGAAAGCGUGGGGAGCGAACAGGAUUAGAUCCCCCUGUAGU